CAGUCGCCGCGGUAAUACGAAGGGUGCAAGCGUUAAUCGGAAUUACUGGGCGUAAAGCGUGCGUAGGCGGUUUGUUAAGUCUGCUGUGAAAUCCCCGGGCUCAACCUGGGAAUGGCAGUGGAUACUGGCAAGCUAGAGUGUGUCAGAGGAUGGUGGAAUUCCCGGUGUAGCGGUGAAAUGCGUAGAGAUCGGGAGGAACAUCAGUGGCGAAGGCGGCCAUCUGGGACAACACUGACGCUGAGGCACGAAAGCGUGGGGAGCAAACAGGAUUAGAGACCCGUGUAGUCCCUGUCUCUUAUAC
This 301-nucleotide ribosomal RNA is filed under the name uncultured bacterium. RNAcentral's name for it is "partial 16S ribosomal RNA". It matches the Rfam family "Bacterial small subunit ribosomal RNA", at positions 509 to 807 of the family's 1533-position model. The record is from RNAcentral.